UUAAAAAGCUCGUAGUAGGAUUUCUGUGGGGACGGAGCGGCCGGCCGCAACUCGCGGUUCGAGCUAGCGCUUUCCCCACAUCCUGCCGCGAUCCGUGCUACCAUUAGUUUGGUGGCGCCGGGGAUCGGCUCGUUUACUUUGAGAAAAAUAGAGUGUUCAAAGCAGGCCACACGCCUUGAAUAAGUUAGCAUGGGAUAAUAACUAAGGACUUCGGUUCUAUUUUGUUGGUGUUCGGGACUGAAGUAAUGAUUGAUAGGGACAGUUGGGGCGGUCCGUAUUCCAAAGCGAGAGGUGAAAUUCUUAGACCUUCGGGAGACGAACAGCUGCGAAAGCGUUCCGCAAGGAUGUUCCCUUUGAUCAAGAGCGAAAGUUGGGGGAUCGAAGACGAUCAGAUACCGUCGUAGUCUCAACUAUAAACUAUACCAGCUAGGGAUCGGCCAACGUUAUUCUAUACCGACUUGGUCGGCACCUUAUGAGAAAUCAAAGCAUCUGGGUUCCGGGGGGAGUAUGGUCCCAAAGCUGAAACUUAAAGGAAUUGAC
Molecule: ribosomal RNA, 540 nt
Filed under: uncultured marine eukaryote
Lineage: Eukaryota
Description: bacterial SSU rRNA
Rfam family: Eukaryotic small subunit ribosomal RNA
Source: RNAcentral